RNAcentral lists this ribosomal RNA (253 nucleotides) under uncultured bacterium. Its description in RNAcentral is "partial 16S ribosomal RNA". It matches the Rfam family "Bacterial small subunit ribosomal RNA", at positions 524 to 776 of the family's 1533-position model. The record is from RNAcentral.
UACGAAGGGGGCUAGCGUUGUUCGGAAUCACUGGGCAUAAAGGGCGCGUAGGCGGCCUGAUAAGUCGGGGGUGAAAGCCUGUGGCUCAACCACAGAAUUGCCUUCGAUACUGUUAGGCUUGAGACCGGAAGAGGUAAGUGGAGCUGCGAGUGUAGAGGUGAAAUUCGUAGAUAUUCGCAAGAACACCAGUGGCGAAGGCGGCUUACUGGUCCGGUUCUGACGCUGAGGCGCGAAAGCGUGGGGAGCAAACAGG